GAUGAACGCUGGCGGCGUGCCUAAUACAUGCAAGUCGAGCGAACAGACGAGGAGCUUGCUCCUCUGACGUUAGCGGCGGACGGGUGAGUAACACGUGGAUAACCUACCUAUAAGACUGGGAUAACUUCGGGAAACCGGAGCUAAUACCGGAUAAUAUAUUGAACCGCAUGGUUCAAUAGUGAAAGACGGUUUUGCUGUCACUUAUAGAUGGAUCCGCGCCGCAUUAGCUAGUUGGUAAGGUGACGGCUUACCAAGGCAACGAUGCGUAGCCGACCUGAGAGGGUGAUCGGCCACACUGGAACUGAGACACGGUCCAGACCCCUACGGGAGGCAGCAGUAGGGAAUCUUCCGCAAUGGGCGAAAGCCUGACGGAGCAACGCCGCGUGAGUGAUGAGGGUCUUCGGAUCGUAAAACUCUGUUAUUAGGGAAGAACAAAUGUGUAAGUAACUAUGCACGUCUUGACGGUACCUAAUCAGAAAGCCACGGCUAACUACGUG
This 497-nucleotide ribosomal RNA is filed under the name uncultured bacterium. RNAcentral's name for it is "partial 16S ribosomal RNA". It matches the Rfam family "Bacterial small subunit ribosomal RNA", at positions 28 to 507 of the family's 1533-position model. The record is from RNAcentral.